This 301-nucleotide ribosomal RNA is filed under the name uncultured bacterium. Its description in RNAcentral is "partial 16S ribosomal RNA". It matches the Rfam family "Bacterial small subunit ribosomal RNA", at positions 509 to 807 of the family's 1533-position model. The record is from RNAcentral.
CAGCCGCCGCGGGAAUACAGAGGGUGCGAGCGUUAAUCGGAUUUACUGGGCGUAAAGCGUGCGUAGGCGGCUUCUUAAGUCGGAUGUGAAAUCCCUGAGCUUAACUUAGGAAUUGCAUUCGAUACUGGGAAGCUAGAGUAUGGGAGAGGAUGGUAGAAUUCCAGGUGUAGCGGUGAAAUGCGUAGAGAUCUGGAGGAAUACCAAUGGCGAAGGCAGCCAUCUGGCCUAAUACUGACGCUGAGGUACGAAAGCAUGGGGAGCAAACAGGAUUAGAGACCCCAGUAGUCCCUGUCUCUUAUAC